RNAcentral lists this non-coding RNA (106 nucleotides) under pig gut metagenome. RNAcentral's name for it is "SAM riboswitch (S box leader)". It matches the Rfam family "SAM riboswitch aptamer (S box leader)". Rfam says of the family: The SAM riboswitch is found upstream of a number of genes which code for proteins involved in methionine or cysteine biosynthesis in Gram-positive bacteria. The record is from RNAcentral. RNAcentral also lists the same sequence under 1 other name.
UCUUAUCAAGAGCGCACGGAGGGACUGGCCCGAUGAUGGCGCGGCAACCAUUGGUUCAUACCAAACGGUGCCAAUUCCGAUAGGCAGUAUAGCCUAAAAGAUGAGA